AGUGAACGCUGGCGGUAGGCCUAACACAUGCAAGUCGAACGGCAGCACAGAGGAGCUUGCUCCUUGGGUGGCGAGUGGCGGACGGGUGAGGAAUACAUCGGAAUCUACUCUGUCGUGGGGGAUAACGUAGGGAAACUUACGCUAAUACCGCAUACGACCUACGGGUGAAAGCAGGGGACCUUCGGGCCUUGCGCGAUUGAAUGAGCCGAUGUCGGAUUGGCUAGUUGGCGGGGUAAAGGCCCACCAAGGCGACGAUCCGUAGCUGGUCUGAGAGGAUGAUCAGCCUCACUGGAACUGAGACACGGUCCAGACUCCUACGGGAGGCAGCAGUGGGGAAUAUUGGACAAUGGGCGCAAGCCUGAUCCAGCCAUACCGCGUGGGUGAAGAAGGCCUUCGGGUUGUAAAGCCCUUUUGUUGGGAAAGAAAUCCAGCUGGCUAAUACCCGGUUGGGAUGACGGUACCCAAAGAGUAAGCACCGGCUAACUUCGUGCCAGCCGCCGCCGUAA
This 506-nucleotide ribosomal RNA is filed under the name uncultured bacterium. RNAcentral's name for it is "partial 16S ribosomal RNA". It matches the Rfam family "Bacterial small subunit ribosomal RNA", at positions 29 to 523 of the family's 1533-position model. The record is from RNAcentral.